Long non-coding RNA from Amphiprion ocellaris (clown anemonefish), 1616 nucleotides. RefSeq lists it as uncharacterized. Lineage: Eukaryota; Metazoa; Chordata; Actinopteri; Pomacentridae. The transcript has 3 exons. The record is from RefSeq and is a predicted model, not a curated record.
GAAUAAUUUUAAUAAAAUAAUUAUUCGCUUAUUGACUUUGAUAAGCGGCCAGUGCUUCAUGUGGCUUACCGGUAGGGUCGUAUGUCCCUCCUCGGACUGUUUCGGUCCGUGCGCCCGUUGAAGGUCACAGACACACAGGCAGUGAAACGUUGUUGUGCUUGUCAUGGCGGCUGUUGCCAUUUCUGCCUGAGUCUAGAGAGAUCUGACGCCGUUUCUCCGCUAGUAGUUGACAUUUUGCGCCGACACUUUGGUCUCCCUCAGGUCCCCCUCAUCCCACCUCCCUUGCAAUAGACCACAGCAGCAGUUAAAUUAAGGCCCAAGAGGCAGACAUCCUGCAGCAGACUGAAAAUGCAGAAAACCAGUUGCAUGAAUGAAAUGAGAACAUGAAGACUGCUCCCUAAAAAAAAAUUGAAAGUUCUCAGCUGACCAUGUGUCGUGCAAUGACAGAAAUGUCAAGAUGAGUGUGAGGCAGAGGACAAGGACGCAGGAAAGGUGGUCCUGCCUGCAUCUACAGUCUGAUCAUCAGUCUUCAGCCCUAUCUGUGUUGCCAGUGUGGACAUUGAUGCAAAGACUUCAGGCUCAGAAGAUGACAGACCGUCUAUCCAGCCAUCACACCGAGAGCUGAAGGGGUGAAAGCGGAGGCCAGUUGUGGACCAGCCUAUAAAGACAUCGCAUUGGGUGAGUCACAGUCAAACUGAUGACAGUGUGGUGUUUGCUAUUGAUUACAGUGAAGCCAAGGUUAAUGUGUAUAAAAAAUGAAGUUCCUACAUUUACUAAGUAUGUCAUCAUGACUCACGUCAUUUGCACACAUACAAUGCAUACAUGGAGCCGACUUUAUGACUACAGAUACUUCUCACUGCACAGCACGUUUCAGUAGGCCCAGAUGAACAUUUUGAUGAAGCCUGGAAGAAAACAUACUUUAGAAGUAAUACUUAAAUACAUUUCUGCCAUUUUUUUUUAAAAUUAACACCUCCUCGUGUCAAAGAUCUGUAAUGUUACAUGUAUGUCACACUGUUUGUUGAUGGUGAAUUUAUUCACCAUGUGUAAAAGUUUCAAUCACUCUCCCCAGUGGGAGGUGUACUCUUAUGUUUACAUGUUUAAAUAUUAUGCAUCUCUAUUAAUGAAUGUUGACAGUUGACACUGUGGUUUUUGCAACAUUUGACUGAAAAUGACUACAGAGCAAAUCUUCGAAAAUUACAAUGAGCAAUGAGAAAGUGACAUUUUUUAGACUAACACAGUUACAUGGUUAAAUACCCUUUUCAUGAAAAGCAGAGUUUUUGUGCAGUUUUGUGUGCUGCAUCUGGUUAACUAUCCCUGUUUUAUUGGAGUGAGCAUGAGAAUGCAUCAUACAGUUUGUGGAGAUCUGUUAUUUACCACAUUUGUCCUGAAUUGCUGAAACCAAACACUUUCAAUAAUCUGCUAGACCUAAAAGUUAUAUCAGAUUACUUUAGUUUGUAAAAAUGAGAAAAAAAAUGUUUGACAUUAUGUGCAGAAUAAUUAAAAUGACUGUUGGGUUGUUAAUUCACAGAUAAUAUGUGUAAUUUUACUGACUUUUCUUAGUUAUUCAGCAAUAGAAUAGAAACAGAAAACUACAAGUUUAAAUUUUUCCCCAGUGA